GGAAGGGAGCCAGGCACUUUCCACCUGGCUCAGGGACUAUAUGCGCUCUCAGGUGCCCCCUACUGAGUGUUUCCGUCCCUGUGGUUCUGAGGCCUGCAGAGGCUCCUCGCAGCAGUCCGGGGCUGCUAAAGGAAGGCGUGGGGGCUGCUGACAGCUCAACCCUCUGCUCUUACAGACUAGCAGGGACUUGGGCGUAGGCCAAGAAUGCAGCUUUGACACUCCGGGCUCACCGAAUGGAUUUGGGCAAGUCACUGCUCCCCUCUGAGCUUUGGUUUCCUCACCAAAAGAACUCCUGGCUCAUGAAACGGUUACUAUCACUACCGUGUGGCAGUUGGGGAGUGGACACCACAGAGGGGAGAGUUCUCAGCAGCGCCAUGCAAACUCACGCUCUGCCCAGAAGUCGGAGGAAUCUAAUCUUCAUAGAGGGAGGCUCAACGAGUCCUUCCACUCUGAGAGGACCUGCAUGUAGGUCAAUUGCCCUGUGUUGGCUGCUGGGGGAGACCCAAUAGCCAUGAGGGACCAAUGCCCCCUAUUGAAGCUGAUAUUACUUUGUUUC
Zalophus californianus (California sea lion) is the source of this 556-nucleotide long non-coding RNA. RefSeq lists it as uncharacterized. The transcript has 3 exons. The record is from RefSeq and is a predicted model, not a curated record. NCBI's taxonomy places the organism in Eukaryota, Metazoa, Chordata, Mammalia, Carnivora, Otariidae.